RNAcentral lists this transfer RNA (76 nucleotides) under Actinomycetota bacterium. RNAcentral describes it as "tRNA-Ala". It matches the Rfam family "tRNA". From Rfam's summary of the family: Transfer RNA (tRNA) molecules are approximately 80 nucleotides in length. Their secondary structure includes four short double-helical elements and three loops (D, anti-codon, and T loops). Lineage: Bacteria; Bacillati; Actinomycetota. The record is from RNAcentral.
GGGCCGGUGGCGCAAUAGGAAGCGCAGCUCCCCUGCAAGGAGCAGGUUGCGGGUUCGACCCCCGCACGGUCCACCA